Molecule: non-coding RNA, 155 nt
Filed under: uncultured Prevotella sp.
Lineage: Bacteria; Pseudomonadati; Bacteroidota; Bacteroidia; Bacteroidales; Prevotellaceae
Source: RNAcentral
UUGGUUCACUUUUAGUGAUGAAAAGGGAAUCGGGUGAGAAUCCCGGACAGUCCCGCUGCUGUGAGCCGUCCUUUCAUACCGCCAACGACACGCCACUGGCACCUGCCGGGAAGGUGAUGGCGGUAAGACGACGAAGUCAGAAGACCUGCCAUUGC